AUCUAGCUUGCUAGAUGCUGACGAGUGGCGCACGGGUGCGUAACGCGUAUACAAUCUACCUUUAACUGAGGGAUAGCCCAGAGAAAUUUGGAUUAACACCUCAUAGUAUUAUAAUUAGGCAUCUUUUUAUAAUUAAAACUUCGGUGGUUAAAGAUGAGUAUGCGUACUAUUAGCUAGUUGGUAAGGUAAAAGCUUACCAAGGCAACGAUAGUUAGGGGGCCUGAAAGGGUGAUCCCCCACACUGGUACUGAGACACGGACCAGACUCCUACGGGAGGCAGCAGUGAGGAAUAUUGCACAAUGGAGGAAACUCUGAUGCAGCCAUGCCGCGUGCAGGAAGAAUGCCCUAUGGGUUGUAAACUGCUUUUAUACAAGAAGAAACCUCGGUACGUGUACCGACUUGACGGUAUCGUGUGAAUAAGCACCGGCUAACUCCGUGCCAGCAGCCGCGGUAAUACGGAGGGUGCAAGCGUUAUCCGGAUUUAUUAGGUUUAAAGGGUCCGCAGGCGGAAUAUUAAGUCAGUGGUGAAAGCCUACAGCUCAACUGUA
This 548-nucleotide ribosomal RNA is filed under the name uncultured Bacteroidota bacterium. RNAcentral's name for it is "bacterial SSU rRNA". It matches the Rfam family "Bacterial small subunit ribosomal RNA", at positions 73 to 617 of the family's 1533-position model. The record is from RNAcentral. Lineage: Bacteria; Pseudomonadati; Bacteroidota.